GCAGAACGCGAAGAACCUUACCUGGCCUUGACAUCCUAGGAAUCCCGAAGAGAUUUGGGAGUGCCGCAAGGAACCUAGAGACAGGUGCUGCAUGGCUGUCGUCAGCUCGUGUCGUGAGAUGUUGGGUUAAGUCCCGCAACGAGCGCAACCCUUAUCGUAUGUUGCCAGCAUUUAGUUGGGCACUCGUGCGAGACUGCCGGUGAUAAGCCGGAGGAAGGCGGGGACGACGUCAAGUCAUCAUGGCCCUUACGUGUGGGGCUAGAAACGUGCUACAAUGGGAGUGACAGUGAGCAGCGAGGUCGCGAGGCCAAGCUAAUCUCCAAAAGCUCUCUCAGUUCAGAUUGUAGUCUGCAACUCGACUACAUGAAGUUGGAAUCGCUAGUAAUCGCAAAUCAGCAUGUUGCGGUGAAUACGUUCCCGGGUCUUGUACACACCG
Molecule: ribosomal RNA, 436 nt
Filed under: uncultured bacterium
Lineage: Bacteria
Description: bacterial SSU rRNA
Rfam family: Bacterial small subunit ribosomal RNA
Source: RNAcentral